AGUCUCAUUUAACGUAAGCAAUGUCAGUUUGUUUCUUAUUCUAGGUGUCUUCUUUUCUCAGUGGAUCUAAUGAAGUUAGGGGUAAUUUUUUUGUUCUGUUCUUAGGAAGAAUACAGCCUUGCACAAGCUAAGGUAACACCACCCCCUUCUGUUCACACUGGUGCUAAACCCAGUCAGCCAUAUAUCCAGCACAGCAAAACACAGGCUCAUUGUGGUACACAGAAAAUGCUUUUUACUAAUACGUUAUGCUCAGACACACACCAUUGAAACCUGGUGAUUACCACAACUCUGUGUGACAGCUGAUGGAGCAUAGCAGAAUGCAAGCAGAAAUCGAAGGUUUGCUCUGCUACAGCUUCAAGCACCACAAAAAUAGUAGGACCCAGAUUAACAAAACAAAGCUGGGUGCUACAAAGCAAAAUAAAGAAGAGGAGGGAUGGUUCUAAGGAAGGGAGAACCUAAAGCUAAUGGAUGUACUGUGCUUGCUAUGGCGAUUUUUGCAGGCUUCCUCUCUCUCUGACACUCACCGAAAGGAGUUUCUCAGUUCCAUAGCUCUAUGCUAUAUGUAAAGUCAGAGCCACUCACUUCUUGCUUCUAUGAGGUGAAUCAUUUCUGCUAUCAGGGGACUAUCUGUACCUACUGGAAAUAAGUCAUGCCAUGUGCCUCUGUGACAUUUAAAGGAUUGUAGUCAAAACCAAGCCCAAGUGUUUUUUUUUCUGUUGGGAAAAUCAUCCCAAACUUCACACUGAUGUUUUCAUGUUGUAAAUAGGAAAUCAGUCCACAGAGAGGAUUUAGAGGUGGCUGUUGCCUACUGUAGUGACUCAGAAAAAAUGAAAUGCAUUGCUCAUAUAUUGUUUUUGAAGGCUACAGUGGGGGACAACCACUUUUCCUUCCUUAAAUUUGCAUUUUAAAAAAACUAAAGUCUCUGACUUUUCAAGAGUUCAAAAUCUCCAGCUCAUGCAGAUUUCUAGAUGACUUUUGCACCUGAAAGAAAGGCAGGCUUUUUGCUGAGGUUCAACAAAAAGAAACUCUUCACCGUACAUAUUUUCAAAACUACUGUCAGGUCCAUGUGUUGAAACUUCUUUAAAAUUAUGAAUUUUGCAAUGAAUGGGAUACAAAUUUGGAUUUCUUUAAAUGUUUUUAACACAAUCUUCAAUUAUGGCUGUUGAGCUCUGGAAAAAAGCUCUUAUAUAUCAUUUAUCUGUGUUUUGCGUAUACAUUAUGUUGAAAAAUUUCUCCCAAAGGCGACUUCAGGUUUUAAUUUCCCAGAUUUCUACACUGUCUAGUUACCACAGUGUUUCUGACCGAACGACAGAGCACCACAGAAUAUACCACAGGUGGUUAUCCGGAUGCUGUCUGCUUACAAGGUCCCUUUGCAAUUUGUGUAGUCAGUAUAUCACUCAAAGUCAUGUGUGCUCCAUUGUAUCACCCCAGUUUGCUCUGUGCCACUAUUGUUAUAUGCUUGAAUUCUGCAAGUAGCACAAAGAAGUUGUAAAUAACUCAUAAUAAAUACAUUCCUGUAGGGUCUCUGCUCUCCUGUAGCAAGAAAAUAGUAAGUCAAAAUUUCCAAAGAGCAACAUUACAUUUUUAUCAUAUUCUGUAAGUAGAAGCUGUGCAGAGAGGUUGCUGCCAACCUGCCCUCAACAUUUACAGUCAGAGAACGCACUAAACAUCAGUGAAGCCAUGGCUUCACAGGUUAGGGAGGUGAACUUCUCAAGUAAAGCUUGCAAAUAAAGCUCUGUCUUGAACAUAGAAUGACCCAAGAAGUCCUCAUCAGAGCAAUCCCUCACCUGAUACCCUCAUCAGGUAUCAAGAUGAACUAUAGUAGAAGUCUACCCAGAAAGCCAAGCAGUACAGGAAAGAAAUUAUUUCACUUCAUUUUCACAAUACAUAUAAGCAACUAGAAAAUUAGCCCAAAAUAAUAAAAAAAAUAAGUCAUCAAAGGGUCUGAAAUGCUUUCAGAUUACAUUUUUUAAAAUAUUUAAAUACACUGUAUUGGAUACUCAAGCUAGUUGUCAAAGAAGGUUCUAAUAUUCAUAAAAGGUAUUUCAAAGAACUUGAGAGAGCUGAUUUGUUUAAAGCAGAGAGAAAGAGGUGUUUAGAAUUAAAAAUAUAUACAAAUCUUCAAAAAGCAGAAAUAUGUCAAAGCAGGAGAAAGGGAGGAGCAUUAAUUCUAAUGAGUUAAACAUGUAAUUUUAAUGUCAUAGGUCAGAAGUAACACUUCAAAAGUAGGAAAUCUUCCAGAGAAUCUGUAGGAUCAAUAUAUGAUUGAGGUGUAAAAGGAACAUGAGCCACUUUCAUAGCUGAACAUCAAUUCUCUUUUAAUACUCAAGCAGCUUUUGACAAGCUUCCUUAUUGGGGAUUCUUAAAAGUAUAGGACUGUAUAGAUCAAGAUUGUCAUAGGACUGUAUAACUGAAAGACAGAAAACAGAACAAAAAUACUUGGUCAGAGGAAAAGGUUAUCAGCACAGACCCACAGAGUUCCCGUGGUAUGACCUGUGUUUCAUGACAAUAAUAAAUGUACAGGAAAAGUUCUGUUAAAGUCAUAUCAGUUAAGAACUGGCAGAUAACAAAUGCUAUGACAUGAAUCAGUGUGCCAUGGACAUCUUGCCCAGCAUUGCAGAUGGUGUGUCCCAUCGGCUUCUCUUCUAGAACUAGUAAGCCAACGUUUCAAAGUAUAUUGGCACACAGUUUCUUUCCUGGCAUGGGCAAGCAAGAAUUACAUUUGAACUUGAAUUUUCCAUCUGAUGAAUUGAAUCUGUGCAAGAACCUGUGCUUUCUACACUGGCUACAAUGUAAAAAAUAAGCCCAAGUUGAGUUGCAGUAUUCAC
This is a long non-coding RNA of Pseudopipra pipra, 2828 nucleotides long. RefSeq lists it as uncharacterized. Lineage: Eukaryota; Metazoa; Chordata; Aves; Passeriformes; Pipridae. The transcript has 3 exons. The record is from RefSeq and is a predicted model, not a curated record.